GACGAACGCUGGCGGCGUGCUUAACACAUGCAAGUCGAGCCGAAAGGCCCUGCUUUUGUGGGGUGCUCGAGUGGCGAACGGGUGAGUAACACGUGAGUAACCUGCCCUUGACUUUGGGAUAACUUCAGGAAACUGGGGCUAAUACCGGAUAGGAGCUCCUGCUGCAUGGUGGGGGUUGGAAAGUUUCGGCGGUUGGGGAUGGACUCGCGGCUUAUCAGCUUGUUGGUGGGGUAGUGGCUUACCAAGGCUUUGACGGGUAGCCGGCCUGAGAGGGUGACCGGCCACAUUGGGACUGAGAUACGGCCCAGACUCCUACGGGAGGCAGCAGUGGGGAAUAUUGCACAAUGGGCGGAAGCCUGAUGCAGCAACGCCGCGUGCGGGAUGACGGCCUUCGGGUUGUAAACCGCUUUCGCCUGUGACGAAGCGUGAGUGACGGUAAUGGGUAAAGAAGCACCGGCUAACUACGUG
RNAcentral lists this ribosomal RNA (468 nucleotides) under uncultured bacterium. RNAcentral's name for it is "partial 16S ribosomal RNA". It matches the Rfam family "Bacterial small subunit ribosomal RNA", at positions 28 to 507 of the family's 1533-position model. The record is from RNAcentral.